This is a small nucleolar RNA of Nycticebus coucang (slow loris), 136 nucleotides long. NCBI's taxonomy places the organism in Eukaryota, Metazoa, Chordata, Mammalia, Primates, Lorisidae. The record is from RefSeq and is a predicted model, not a curated record.
UUGGCCUUGAAUCAAGGCCAGGAGUUUGCUGAAGCUUUUGGUUUCAAGCAGGAGCCUAAGGCAUUAUCUUUCUAUGGUCUGUUGGCCAUUUCAGAAUUUUGAAACGUAAUGGUCAAUGCAUUAGAAAGAAACAGUA